AUAUCAAUAAGCGGAGGAAAAGAAACCAACAGGGAUUGCCUCAGUAGCGGCGAGUGAAGCGGCAAGAGCUCAGAUUUGAAAUCGUGCUUUGCGGCACGAGUUGUAGAUUGCAGGUUGGAGUCUGUGUGGAAGGCGGUGUCCAAGUCCCUUGGAACAGGGCGCCCAGGAGGGUGAGAGCCCCGUGGGAUGCCGGCGGAAGCAGUGAGGCCCUUCUGACGAGUCGAGUUGUUUGGGAAUGCAGCUCCAAGCGGGUGGUAAAUUCCAUCUAAGGCUAAAUACUGGCGAGAGACCGAUAGCGAACAAGUACUGUGAAGGAAAGAUGAAAAGCACUUUGAAAAGAGAGUGAAACAGCACGUGAAAUUGUUGAAAGGGAAGGGUAUUGCGCCCGACAUGGGGAUUGCGCACCGCUGCCUCUCGUGGGCGGCGCUCUGGGCUUUCCCUGGGCCAGCAUCGGUUCUUGCUGCAGGAGAAGGGGUUCUGGAACGUGGCUCUUCGGAGUGUUAUAGCCAGGGCCAGAUGCUGCGUGCGGGGACCGAGGACUGCGGCCGUGUAGGUCACGGAUGCGAAAC
RNAcentral lists this ribosomal RNA (569 nucleotides) under Saccharomyces cerevisiae (brewer's yeast). RNAcentral describes it as "eukaryotic LSU rRNA". It matches the Rfam family "Eukaryotic large subunit ribosomal RNA", at positions 40 to 631 of the family's 3401-position model. The record is from RNAcentral. Lineage: Eukaryota; Fungi; Ascomycota; Saccharomycetes; Saccharomycetales; Saccharomycetaceae.